Molecule: ribosomal RNA, 440 nt
Filed under: uncultured bacterium
Lineage: Bacteria
Description: partial 16S ribosomal RNA
Rfam family: Bacterial small subunit ribosomal RNA
Source: RNAcentral
CUACGGGGGGGCUGCAGUGGGGAAUAUUGCACAAUGGGGGAAACCCUGAUGCAGCGACGCCGCGUGAAGGAUGAAGGUUUUCGGAUCGUAAACUUCUUUGAUGGGGGAAGAUAAUGACGGUACCCCAAAAACAAGCCACGGCUAACUACGUGCCAGCAGCCGCGGUAAUACGUAGGUGGCAAGCGUUGUCCGGAUUUACUGGGUGUAAAGAGCAUGUAGGCGGGGAUACAAGUCAGAUGUGAAAUCCUGUGGCUCAACCACAGACGUGCAUCUGAAACUGUAUUUCUUGAGUGUUGGAGAGGAAAGCGGAAUUCCUAGUGUAGCGGUGAAAUGCGUAGAUAUUAGGAGGAACACCGGUGGCGAAGGCGGCUUUCUGGACAACAACUGACGCUGAGAUGCGAAAGCGUGGGGAGCAAACAGGAUUAGAUACCCGGGUAGUC